Molecule: ribosomal RNA, 253 nt
Filed under: uncultured bacterium
Lineage: Bacteria
Description: partial 16S ribosomal RNA
Rfam family: Bacterial small subunit ribosomal RNA
Source: RNAcentral
UACAGAGGGUGCAAGCGUUAAUCGGAAUUACUGGGCGUAAAGGGUGCGUAGGUGGUUGAAUAAGUUAGAUGUGAAAGUCCUGGGCUUAACCUGGGGAUGGCAUCUAAUACUGCUUGACUAGAGUACUGUAGAGGAAGGUGGAAUUUCCGGUGUAGCGGUGAAAUGCGUAGAUAUCGGAAGGAACAUCAGUGGCGAAGGCGACUUUCUGGACAGAUACUGACACUGAGGCACGAAAGCAUGGGGAGCAAACAGG